AAGCGUGCGCAGGCGGUUAUGUAAGACAGAUGUGAAAUCCCCGGGCCUCAACCUGGGAACUGCAUUAGUGACUGCAUAGCUGGAGUACGGCAGAGGGGGAUGGAAUUCCGCGUGUAGCAGUGAAAUGCGUAGAUAUGCGGAGGAACACCGAUGGCGAAGGCAAUCCCCUGGGCCUGUACUGACGCUCAUGCACGAAAGCGUGGGGAGCAAACAGGAUUAGAUACCCGAGU
Molecule: ribosomal RNA, 230 nt
Filed under: uncultured bacterium
Lineage: Bacteria
Description: partial 16S ribosomal RNA
Rfam family: Bacterial small subunit ribosomal RNA
Source: RNAcentral